This 801-nucleotide ribosomal RNA is filed under the name Micrococcus luteus. RNAcentral's name for it is "bacterial SSU rRNA". It matches the Rfam family "Bacterial small subunit ribosomal RNA", at positions 117 to 921 of the family's 1533-position model. The record is from RNAcentral. Lineage: Bacteria; Bacillati; Actinomycetota; Actinomycetes; Micrococcales; Micrococcaceae.
GUGAGUAACCUGCCCUUAACUCUGGGAUAAGCCUGGGAAACUGGGUCUAAUACCGGAUAGGAGCGCCCACCGCAUGGUGGGUGUUGGAAAGAUUUAUCGGUUUUGGAUGGACUCGCGGCCUAUCAGCUUGUUGGUGAGGUAAUGGCUCACCAAGGCGACGACGGGUAGCCGGCCUGAGAGGGUGACCGGCCACACUGGGACUGAGACACGGCCCAGACUCCUACGGGAGGCAGCAGUGGGGAAUAUUGCACAAUGGGCGAAAGCCUGAUGCAGCGACGCCGCGUGAGGGAUGACGGCCUUCGGGUUGUAAACCUCUUUCAGUAGGGAAGAAGCGAAAGUGACGGUACCUGCAGAAGAAGCACCGGCUAACUACGUGCCAGCAGCCGCGGUAAUACGUAGGGUGCGAGCGUUAUCCGGAAUUAUUGGGCGUAAAGAGCUCGUAGGCGGUUUGUCGCGUCUGUCGUGAAAGUCCGGGGCUUAACCCCGGAUCUGCGGUGGGUACGGGCAGACUAGAGUGCAGUAGGGGAGACUGGAAUUCCUGGUGUAGCGGUGGAAUGCGCAGAUAUCAGGAGGAACACCGAUGGCGAAGGCAGGUCUCUGGGCUGUAACUGACGCUGAGAGCGAAAGCAUGGGGAGCGAACAGGAUUAGAUACCCCUGGUAGUCCAUGCCGUAAACGUUGGGGCACCUAGUGUGGGGACCAUUCCACGGUUUCCCGCGCCCGCAGCUAACGCCAUUAAGUGCCCCCGCCCUGGGGAGUACCGGCCGCAAGGCUAAACACUCAAAGGAAUUUGACCGGGGCC